Molecule: long non-coding RNA, 665 nt
Filed under: Lonchura striata (white-rumped munia)
Lineage: Eukaryota; Metazoa; Chordata; Aves; Passeriformes; Estrildidae
Description: domestica (Bengalese finch) lncRNA (ENSLSDG00000012466.1)
Source: RNAcentral
GUGUCCCUGGAAAUGGGAAUUCCAUGGGAAAUGGGAAAAGUGGCUCGAAAAAUGGGUAAAUCACCUGGAAAUUGAGAAAUUCCAUGCGAAAAUGUCCCCAAAAUGGAGAAAUUCCCUGGAAAAAUGACCCUAAAAUGGAGAAAUUUGAUCAAAAAAUGACCCUAAAAUGGAGAAGUUUCCUGGAAAAAUGUCCCUAAAAUGGAGAAAUUCCCUGGAAAAAUGUCCCUAAAAUGGAGAAAUUCCAUGGAAAAAUGACCCUAAAAUGGAGAAAUUCCACGGGAAAAUGUCCCUAAAAUGGAGAAAUUCCACGGGAAAAUGGAAAAAUUCCAUGGAAAAAUGUCCCUAAAAAUGGGAAAUUCCAUGGGAAAAUGGGAAAAUCACCUGGAAAUUGAGAAAUUCUAUGGAAAAUUGUCCUUAAAAUGGAGAAAUUCAUGGAAAAUGUCCCUGAAAUUGAGAAAUUCCAGGAAAAAACGAGGAAAGUUCCAGGGGAAAAUGUCAGAGAAAUGGAGAAUUUUCCAUGGAAAAAUAUCCCAGGAAUUGAAAAUUCCAAUGGGAUUUUUGGACCUUUAUUUUAUGGGAUUUUUUUGAAUUUCUGGGCUCUUUUUUAACAUUAUUUUUUGGUUCUUUUUUUGGGAUUUUAGCCAGAUUUUUUUGGGAUUUGGGGC